This 2924-nucleotide ribosomal RNA is filed under the name Bacillus thuringiensis. RNAcentral describes it as "bacterial LSU rRNA". It matches the Rfam family "Bacterial large subunit ribosomal RNA". Lineage: Bacteria; Bacillati; Bacillota; Bacilli; Caryophanales; Bacillaceae. The record is from RNAcentral.
UUUGGUUAAGUUAGAAAGGGCGCACGGUGGAUGCCUUGACACUAGGAGUCGAUGAAGGACGGGACUAACGCCGAUAUGCUUCGGGGAGCUGUAAGUAAGCUUUGAUCCGAAGAUUUCCGAAUGGGGAAACCCACCAUACGUAAUGGUAUGGUAUCCUUACCUGAAUACAUAGGGUAAGGAAGACAGACCCAGGGAACUGAAACAUCUAAGUACCUGGAGGAAGAAAAGCAAAUGCGAUUUCCUGAGUAGCGGCGAGCGAAACGGAACAUAGCCCAAACCAAGAGGCUUGCCUCUUGGGGUUGUAGGACAUUCUAUACGGAGUUACAAAGGAACGAGGUAGACGAAGCGACCUGGAAAGGUCCGUCGUAGAGGGUAACAACCCCGUAGUCGAAACUUCGUUCUCUCUUGAAUGUAUCCUGAGUACGGCGGAACACGUGAAAUUCCGUCGGAAUCUGGGAGGACCAUCUCCCAAGGCUAAAUACUCCCUAGUGAUCGAUAGUGAACCAGUACCGUGAGGGAAAGGUGAAAAGCACCCCGGAAGGGGAGUGAAAGAGAUCCUGAAACCGUGUGCCUACAAAUAGUCAGAGCCCGUUAACGGGUGAUGGCGUGCCUUUUGUAGAAUGAACCGGCGAGUUACGAUCCCGUGCGAGGUUAAGCUGAAGAGGCGGAGCCGCAGCGAAAGCGAGUCUGAAUAGGGCGUUUAGUACGUGGUCGUAGACCCGAAACCAGGUGAUCUACCCAUGUCCAGGGUGAAGUUCAGGUAACACUGAAUGGAGGCCCGAACCCACGCACGUUGAAAAGUGCGGGGAUGAGGUGUGGGUAGCGGAGAAAUUCCAAUCGAACCUGGAGAUAGCUGGUUCUCCCCGAAAUAGCUUUAGGGCUAGCCUUAAGUGUAAGAGUCUUGGAGGUAGAGCACUGAUUGGACUAGGGGUCCUCAUCGGAUUACCGAAUUCAGUCAAACUCCGAAUGCCAAUGACUUAUCCUUAGGAGUCAGACUGCGAGUGAUAAGAUCCGUAGUCAAAAGGGAAACAGCCCAGACCGCCAGCUAAGGUCCCAAAGUGUGUAUUAAGUGGAAAAGGAUGUGGAGUUGCUUAGACAACUAGGAUGUUGGCUUAGAAGCAGCCACCAUUUAAAGAGUGCGUAAUAGCUCACUAGUCGAGUGACUCUGCGCCGAAAAUGUACCGGGGCUAAAUACACCACCGAAGCUGCGGAUUGAUACCGAAUGUAUCAGUGGUAGGGAGCGUUCUAAGGACAGUGAAGUCAGACCGGAAGGACUGGUGGAGUGCUUAGAAGUGAGAAUGCCGGUAUGAGUAGCGAAAGACGGGUGAGAAUCCCGUCCACCGAAUGCCUAAGGUUUCCUGAGGAAGGCUCGUCCGCUCAGGGUUAGUCAGGACCUAAGCCGAGGCCGACAGGCGUAGGCGAUGGACAACAGGUUGAUAUUCCUGUACCACCUCUUUAUCGUUUGAGCAAUGGAGGGACGCAGAAGGAUAGAAGAAGCGUGCGAUUGGUUGUGCACGUCCAAGCAGUUAGGCUGAUAAGUAGGCAAAUCCGCUUAUCAUAAAGGCUGAGCUGUGAUGGGGAAGCUCCUUAUGGAGCGAAGUUUGAUUCCCCGCUGCCAAGAAAAGCUUCUAGCGAGAUAAAAGGUGCCUGUACCGCAAACCGACACAGGUAGGCGAGGAGAGAAUCCUAAGGUGUGCGAGAGAACUCUGGUUAAGGAACUCGGCAAAAUGACCCCGUAACUUCGGGAGAAGGGGUGCUUUCUUAACGGAAAGCCGCAGUGAAUAGGCCCAAGCGACUGUUUAGCAAAAACACAGCUCUCUGCGAAGCCGUAAGGCGAAGUAUAGGGGGUGACACCUGCCCGGUGCUGGAAGGUUAAGGAGAGGGUUAGCGUAAGCGAAGCUCUGAACUGAAGCCCCAGUAAACGGCGGCCGUAACUAUAACGGUCCUAAGGUAGCGAAAUUCCUUGUCGGGUAAGUUCCGACCCGCACGAAAGGUGUAACGAUUUGGGCACUGUCUCAACCAGAGACUCGGUGAAAUUAUAGUACCUGUGAAGAUGCAGGUUACCCGCGACAGGACGGAAAGACCCCGUGGAGCUUUACUGUAGCCUGAUAUUGAAUUUUGGUACAGUUUGUACAGGAUAGGCGGGAGCCAUUGAAACCGGAGCGCUAGCUUCGGUGGAGGCGCUGGUGGGAUACCGCCCUGACUGUAUUGAAAUUCUAACCUACGGGUCUUAUCGACCCGGGAGACAGUGUCAGGUGGGCAGUUUGACUGGGGCGGUCGCCUCCUAAAGUGUAACGGAGGCGCCCAAAGGUUCCCUCAGAAUGGUUGGAAAUCAUUCGUAGAGUGCAAAGGCAUAAGGGAGCUUGACUGCGAGACCUACAAGUCGAGCAGGGACGAAAGUCGGGCUUAGUGAUCCGGUGGUUCCGCAUGGAAGGGCCAUCGCUCAACGGAUAAAAGCUACCCCGGGGAUAACAGGCUUAUCUCCCCCAAGAGUCCACAUCGACGGGGAGGUUUGGCACCUCGAUGUCGGCUCAUCGCAUCCUGGGGCUGUAGUCGGUCCCAAGGGUUGGGCUGUUCGCCCAUUAAAGCGGUACGCGAGCUGGGUUCAGAACGUCGUGAGACAGUUCGGUCCCUAUCCGUCGUGGGCGUAGGAAAUUUGAGAGGAGCUGUCCUUAGUACGAGAGGACCGGGAUGGACGCACCGCUGGUGUACCAGUUGUUCUGCCAAGGGCAUAGCUGGGUAGCUAUGUGCGGAAGGGAUAAGUGCUGAAAGCAUCUAAGCAUGAAGCCCCCCUCAAGAUGAGAUUUCCCAUAGCGUAAGCUAGUAAGAUCCCUGAAAGAUGAUCAGGUUGAUAGGUUCGAGGUGGAAGCAUGGUGACAUGUGGAGCUGACGAAUACUAAUAGAUCGAGGACUUAACCAUAUAA